GGGUUGUGAGGUUAAGCGACUAAGCGUACACGGUGGAUGCCCGGCAGUCAGAGGCGAUGAAGGACGUGCUAAUCUGCGAUAAGCGUCGGUGAGGUGAUAUGAACCGUUAUAACCGGCGAUUUCCGAAUGGGGAAACCCAGUGUGUUUCGACACACUAUCAUUAACUGAAUCCAUAGGUUAAUGAGGCGAACCGGGGAACUGAAACAUCUAAGUACCCCGAGGAAAAGAAAUCAACCGAGAUUCCCCAGUAGCGGCGAGCGAACGGGGAGGAGCCCAGAGCCUGAAUCAGUGUGUGUGUUAGUGGAAGCGUCUGGAAAGGCGCGCGAUACAGGGUGACAGCCCCGUACACAAAAAUGCAUGCUGUGAGCUCGAUGAGUAGGGCGGGACACGUGGUAUCCUGUCUGAAUAUGGGGGACCAUCCUCCAAGGCUAAAUACUCCUGACUGACCGAUAGUGAACCAGUACCGUGAGGGAAAGGCGAAAAGAACCCCGGCGAGGGGAGUGAAAAGAACCUGAAACCGUGUACGUACAAGCAGUGGGAGCCUCUUAAUGGGGUGACUGCGUACCUUUGUAUAAUGGGUCAGCGACUUAUAUUCUGUAGCAAGGUUAACCGAAUAGGGGAGCCGAAGGGAAACCGAGUCUUAACUGGGCGUUAAGUUGCAGGGUAUAGACCCGAAACCCGGUGAUCUAGCCAUGGGCAGGUUGAAGGUUGGGUAACACUAACUGGAGGACCGAACCGACUAAUGUUGAAAAAUUAGCGGAUGACUUGUGGCUGGGGUGAAAGGCCAAUCAAACCGGGAGAUAGCUGGUUCUCCCGAAAGCUAUUUAGGUAGCGCCUCGUGAAUUCAUCUCCGGGGUAGAGCACUGUUUCGGCAAGGGGUCAUCCCGACUUACCAACCCGAUGCAAACUGCGAAUACCGGAGAAUGUUAUCACGGGAGACACACGGCGGGUGCUAACGUCCGUCGUGAAGAGGGAAACAACCCAGACCGCCAGCUAAGGUCCCAAAGUCAUGGUUAAGUGGGAAACGAUGUGGGAAGGCCCAGACAGCCGGGAUGUUGGCUUAGAAGCAGCCAUCAUUUAAAGAAAGCGUAAUAGCUCACUGGUCGAGUCGGCCUGCGCGGAAGAUGUAACGGGGCUAAACCAUGCACCGAAGCUGCGGCAGCGACACUAUGUGUUGUUGGGUAGGGGAGCGUUCUGUAAGCCUGUGAAGGUGGCCUGUGAGGGUUGCUGGAGGUAUCAGAAGUGCGAAUGCUGACAUAAGUAACGAUAAAGCGGGUGAAAAGCCCGCUCGCCGGAAGACCAAGGGUUCCUGUCCAACGUUAAUCGGGGCAGGGUGAGUCGACCCUAAGGCGAGGCCGAAAGGCGUAGUCGAUGGGAAACAGGUUAAUAUUCCUGUACUUGGUGUUACUGCGAAGGGGACGGAGAAGGCUAUGUUGGCCGGGCGACGGUUGUCCCGGUUUAAGCGUGUAGGCUGGUUUUCCGUGCAAAUCCGGAAAACCAAGGCUGAGGCGUGAUGACGAGGCACUACGGUGCUGAAGUGACAAAUGCCCUGCUUCCGGAAAGCCUCUAAGCAUCAGGUAACAUCAAAUCGUACCCCAAACCGACACAGGUGGUCAGGUAGAGAAUACCAAGGCGCUUGAGAGAACUCGGGUGAAGGAACUAGGCAAAAUGGUGCCGUAACUUCGGGAGAAGGCACGCUGAUAUGUAGGUGAAGCGACUUGCUCGUGGAGCUGAAAUCAGUCGAAGAUACCAGCUGGCUGCAACUGUUUAUUAAAACACAGCACUGUGCAAACACGAAAGUGGACGUAUACGGUGUGACGCCUGCCCGGUGCCGGAAGGUUAAUUGAUGGGGUUAGCGGUAACGCGAAGCUCUUGAUCGAAGCCCCGGUAAACGGCGGCCGUAACUAUAACGGUCCUAAGGUAGCGAAAUUCCUUGUCGGGUAAGUUCCGACCUGCACGAAUGGCGUAAUGAUGGCGGGCUGUCUCCACCCGAGACUCAGUGAAAUUGAACUCGCUGUGAAGAUGCAGUGUACCCGCGGCAAGACGGAAAGACCCCGUGAACCUUUACUAUAGCUUGACACUGAACAUUGAGCCUUGAUGUGUAGGAUAGGUGGGAGGCUUUGAAGUGUGGACGCCAGUCUGCAUGGAGCCGACCUUGAAAUACCACCCUUUAAUGUUUGAUGUUCUAACGUUGGCCCCUAAUCGGGGUUGCGGACAGUGUCUGGUGGGUAGUUUGACUGGGGCGGUCUCCUCCUAAAGAGUAACGGAGGAGCACGAAGGUUGGCUAAUCUGGUCGGACAUCAGGAGGUUAGUGCAAUGGCAUAAGCCAGCUUGACUGCGAGCGUGACGGCGCGAGCAGGUGCGAAAGCAGGUCAUAGUGAUCCGGUGGUUCUGAAUGGAAGGGCCAUCGCUCAACGGAUAAAAGGUACUCCGGGGAUAACAGGCUGAUACCGCCCAAGAGUUCAUAUCGACGGCGGUGUUUGGCACCUCGAUGUCGGCUCAUCACAUCCUGGGGCUGAAGUAGGUCCCAAGGGUAUGGCUGUUCGCCAUUUAAAGUGGUACGCGAGCUGGGUUUAGAACGUCGUGAGACAGUUCGGUCCCUAUCUGCCGUGGGCGCUGGAGAACUGAGGGGCUGCUCCUAGUACGAGAGGACCGGAGUGGACGCAUCACUGGUGUUCGGGUUGUCAUGCCAAUGGCACUGCCCGGUAGCUAAAUGCGGAAGAGAUAAGUGCUGAAAGCAUCUAAGCACGAAACUUGCCCCGAGAUGAGUUCUCCCUGAGACUUAGAGUCUCCUGAAGGAACGUUGAAGACGACGACGUUGAUAGGCCGGGUGUGUAAGCGCAGCGAUGCGUUGAGCUAACCGGUACUAAUGAACCGUGAGGCUUAACCUUACAACGCCGAAG
This 2903-nucleotide ribosomal RNA is filed under the name Escherichia coli. RNAcentral describes it as "23S ribosomal RNA". It matches the Rfam family "Bacterial large subunit ribosomal RNA". The record is from RNAcentral. Lineage: Bacteria; Pseudomonadati; Pseudomonadota; Gammaproteobacteria; Enterobacterales; Enterobacteriaceae.